UUUAGGGGUGGGCGUGGGUGUGAUGAAGGCACGUUUCAUUAGUUUACAAAAUCAAAGAAAAUUAUAAAAAGACAUGCACAUGGGUAAAUUGCAUUCCUAGCUACGUCACUUGAUAUUCACCUAACAGGAUGGAGCUGUCGCUAUAUCCAUAUGAAAUAUAUAAACAAAUAUACCAUGUUCUUCCCCAUCCCCCAUCUGCCUCACCCUUCAAAUCCAUCUCAUCAUCAGCUGCUCAGCUAAUCGCGA
RNAcentral lists this long non-coding RNA (246 nucleotides) under Gossypium barbadense (sea-island cotton). RNAcentral's name for it is "long non-coding RNA (GBAR_LNC007572)". Lineage: Eukaryota; Viridiplantae; Streptophyta; Magnoliopsida; Malvales; Malvaceae. The record is from RNAcentral.